UACGGGGGGAGCAAGCGUUGUUCGGAUUUACUGGGCGUAAAGGGCGCGUAGGCGGUCAGCACAAGUCAGUUGUGAAAUCUCCGGGCCUAACUCGGAAAGGUCAACUGAUACUGUGCGACUAGAGUGCAGAAGGGGCAACUGGAAUUCUCGGUGUAGCGGUGAAAUGCGUAGAUAUCGAGAGGAACACCUGCGGCGAAGGCGGGUUGCUGGGCUGACACUGACGCUGAUGCGCGAAAGCCAGGGGAGCGAACGGG
Molecule: ribosomal RNA, 254 nt
Filed under: uncultured bacterium
Lineage: Bacteria
Description: partial 16S ribosomal RNA
Rfam family: Bacterial small subunit ribosomal RNA
Source: RNAcentral